UUAAUCGAAAAUGAUUAUUUUUAACGUAGGUCAAACCUGCUCAAUACCUAGUCAAACUAGAAAAAUAAGCUCGUUUGAGAUUGAACUCAUUGAAGGCAAAAGUUGCAAAGUCUAUAUUUAACAUAAGACACAUCUACUAUUUUCAUUAGAAAUGUUUACCAUUUACAUGAGCAAAAUCACAUAAAAGUAGACUUUCUAGAAAUAUAAAUAGUUUUUGAGAUUGAACAACCGAAGGUAAAAGUUGUAAAAUCUACAUUUAACAUAAGACAUAUUUAUUAUUUUCAUUAGAAAUGUCCCAUUUAGAUGAGCAAAAUCACAGAAAAGUAGACUUUCUGGAAAUCAAAAUGGUUCUUGAGAUUGAACCUAUUAAACACAAAAGUUGCAAAGUCUACAUUUAACAUAAGACACAUCUACUAUUUUCAUUAGAAAUGUCUACCAUUUACCAAAGUAGACUUUCUGUAAAUCAAAAUGGUUCUUGAGAUUGAACUCAUUAAAGGCAAAAGUUGCAAAGUCUACAUUUAUCAUAAGACAUAUCUACUAUUUUCAUUAGAAAUGUCUACCAUUUAGAUGAGUUAAAUCACACCAAAGUAGACUUUGUGGAAAUCAAAAUGGUUCUUCAGAUUGAACUCAUUAAGGGUAAAAGUUGCAAAGUCUACAUUUAACAUAAGACACAUCUACUAUUUUCAUUAGAAAUGUCUACCAUUUGGAUGAGCAAAAUCACACCAAAGUAGACUUUCUAGAAAUCAAAAUGGUUCUUGAGAUUGAACACAUUGAAUGCAAAAAUUGCAAAGUCUACAUUUAACAUAAGACAUAUCUACUAUUUUCAUUAGAAAUGUCUAUCAUUAACAUAAACUAAAUAAAAAGAAAAGUAGACUUUCUGGAAAUCAAAAUGGCUCUUGUGAUUGAACUCAUUAAAGACAAAAGUUGUAAAAUCUACAUUUAACAUAAGACAUAUUUACAAUUUUCAUUAGAAAUGUCUACCAUUAAGAUAAGCAAAAUCACAGAAAAGUAGAUUUUAUGGAAAUCAAAAUGGUUCUUAAGAUUGAAUUUAUUAAAGACAAAAGUUACAAAGUCUAUAUUUAACAUAUGACACAUCUACUAUUUUCAUUAGAAAUGUCUACCAUUUAGAUGAGCAAAAUCACAUAAAAGUAGACUUUUUGGAAAUAUAAAUAAUUCUUAUGAUUGAACCAACCGAAGAUAAAAGUUGCAAAUUCUACAUUUAACAUAAGACACAACUACUUUUUUCAUGAGAAAUGUCUACCAUUGGGAUGAGCAAAUUCACAUAAAAGUAGACUUUCUGGAAAUUCAUUAUUGAGAUUGUUCUUCAAAGUUGGAUCAAGUACAUUAAGAUGCAACGUCUACUAUUAACAUGAGUUAAGUCUACUAAUAAUAUGAGCUAACUGAUAUGCAAAAGUAGGCUUUCUGAAAGUUACUAUUUAUGGAAAUCAACUUUAAAAGGAAAAGUAAGUUUCCAUUUCGGGGGGAUAUGCUCUAAAAACGAAAGUUACUAUUUAUACAAAUCAACUAUAAAAGGAAAGGUAAGUUUUCAUUUCGAGGGGAUAGUUAUGCUCUAAAAACGAAAAUUACUAUUUAUGGAAAUCUACUAUAAAAGGAAUGGUAAGGUUUCAUUUCGGGGGGAUUCCUUUUCUGAAAAUUCAACACUAAUUGCCACAUGUCGUGACCUCAUUUGUCCUAAGUCACUAUUCUGUCCAUGUCAUUAAAGUUUUUUUUUCCGACCAUUUCAAAACUUUAAAAAAGCAUAGAAAAUAACUUUGGUGUGGGAAAAAUUCAUCGAAAAAUGUCACGGACCACUGGCUAGACCCACUUCACAACUGCGUUUGAAUUUUAGUCAUCGGAAUCACAAUAUGUCUACUAAUGUGGUAUAACUUGUUUGGUAGGUUAUAUGCUAGUGUACAACUUUGUGAACCAACUAUAUACAGGAAGCAAAAUUUUCUAAAAUCUUGUGAAAUAAGAUGUGAUCGGUAUAGUAAAAUACGGCUACGGUAGAAAAAUCACUUUAAUUCGCCAAUGUUUGGGCCCCGAUUGAAGCGGUCAACCCUAUUUACACUUAUGCUUCACUAAGGAGAGCCGUAUCCUCGGGUGGUAAACACCCUCAAAGUUUUACAUGGGUGGUUAUGUCUCAUCUAUGUGAGACAUUAUUGUGUUGAAGAAUCGACCAAACUAGGUCACGAAGAGGUAGGUAAGGUAGUUUUCGUGUGAUAAGUGAAGAUGAAUUAGGGUUGACCGCUUUGAUCGAGCCCCGAACAUUGUUGAAUCCAGUUAAAUUUUAUACCAAAGCCAUGUUUCACUACAACGAUCACAUCAGACGGUCAAUUUUCAUUUUGUGAAUUUUCAUUGAUUCAAUCUCAAGAACAAUUUUAAUUUUCCAGUAUGUCUACAUUUCAAUGAUUUUGCUCAUCUAAAUGGUAGACAAUUCUCAUAAAAAUAGUAGUUGUGUCUUAUGUUAAUUGUAGACUUUGUAACUUUCACCUUCAAUUGAUUCAAUCUCAAGAACAAUUUUAAUUUCCUGAAAUUAUACUUUUAUGUGAUUUUACUCAUCUAAAUGGUAGACAUUUCUUAUGAAAAAAGUAGUUGUGUCUUAUGUUAAAUGUAGAUUUGCAAAUUUUACCGUAUGUUGGUUCAAUCUUAAGAACAAUUUCUAUUUCCAGAAAGUCUAAUUUUAUAUGAUUUUGCUCUUCCAAAUUGUAGAUAUUUCUCAUGAAAAAAGUAGUUUUGUCUUAUGUUAAAUGAAGACUUUGCAACUUUUGCCUUCAAUGUUAAGAACCAUUUUGAUUUCCAGAAUGUCUACUUUUAUGUGAUUUUACUCAUCUAAAUGGUAGACAUUUCUAAUGAAAAUAGUAGAUGUGUCUUAUGUUAAAUGUAGACUUUGCAACUUUUGCUUUUAAUGGGUUCAAUCUCAAGAACCAUUUUGAUUUUCAAAAAGUCUACUUUUAUGUGAUUUGCUCAUCUAAAUGGUAGACAUUUCUAAUGAAAAUAGUAGAUGUGUCUUCUGUUAAAUGUAGACUUUACAACUUUUACCUACACUGGGUUCAAUCUCAAGAACUAUUUAUAUGUCCAGAAAGUCUACUUUUAUGUGAUUUUGCUCAUCUAAAUAGUAGACAUUUCUAAUGAAAAUAGUAGAUGUGUCUUAUGUUAAAUGUAGACUUUGCAACUUUUGCCUUUAAUGGGUUUAAUAUCAAGAACCAGUUUGAUUUCUAGAAAGUUUACUUUGGUGUGAUUUAGCUCAUCUAAAUGGUAGUCAUUUCUAAUGAAAAAAGUAAAUGUGUCUUAUGUUAAAUGUAGACUUUGCAACUUUUGCCUUUUAAUAGGUUCAAUCUCAAGAACCAUUUUGAUUUCCAAAAAGUCUACUUUUCUGCUUUCUGGGAUUUUGCUCAUCUAAAUAGUAAUGUAAUACCCCGAAAAUUUGAUAUUAGUUUCUAAUAUUAUUUGGAACUUUUCGAGUUAGAUGUUAGUUUGUUUUGAGGUUCGAAGGAAGAGCGAAAGUGUUUGGAGGCAUAAUUACCGGAAACGGUUUUAUUGUUUUGAAGGGUCAAGAGUUGACUUUCUAAUCCGUUUGGUUUCUCGAGAAACUUCCUUCACGAAAGUGUUAGAGCACGACGUUAUGAGUUCGUAGACACGUGGCACACGUAAAACGGACUUCAUACGAGGAAGUUAUGGUCAGUGAAAGUUGUGGCUUUUCGGGAGUUUUUAGGAUAAAUAGAAAAGUUUUGGGGGUGGAAACCCUAAAUUUAGAAACUCAACUUUCUUUCUCUCUCCUCCUCCCCGAGAUGCACGGGCUGCCCCAUUUUCACCGGAGAAGAAGUCGGACGUCCGGCCAUCAUUUUGGCCGCCACCGGUCUCGUUAGAUUGGUCUCGUCCUCACCUACCCAGCCGAGUCGGUCUUUGACGCUGGUGACCGGCGUACAAGGUGCAGUGAGGCCCGAAAGCCAUUGCCGCAGGCGGCUUUGACCGAAACCCUAAACCGGCGACCCCCGACGAUGCACCCAGCCUAGUUUGGCUCGUCUCCUCCGUGCAAAGCUUCCUAGGCAAGUGGGUGGCCUCGUCUUGAACUGUAGCAGCAGGAGGCAAAAGGAGUAGUCUUGGCCGGAAGCUGUCAUUUCCGGUGGCGACAGGGUGCAACACAUGGUGAGUUUUGCUCCUCUCUUCCAUCUGUGUGUCGUUGUGCAAAGCAAAUCAACUCAGUUUUGAGUUUUUAAACCAUGAAUUUCAGUUUUGGAGCUCGAAUUUGUGACGGUGUGUUGGAGUAGUUCAAGGUCGAUUCAAAGCUAGUCACAGGUAUAAAGUUUGUUCCUUUUGCUUUGAACUACGAGUUGAAUUCGUUGGGUGUUCAUUUUGCAAUGUUUUCGGAUGGCGCGUGGGGCCCACUCGUCGCCGCUUAUGGUGGUGCGUGGAAGCGCGUCCGGGCAGUGUGGCGGUGUUUGGUUGCUGUGUUAGCUAGUCUAUGUAGUUGAUAGAGUGUUGUUGUGUGAUAAGGCUAAGUGUUGGUUAGGUAGUGCUUCUUAGGUGCUUUGUAAAUCUUGGUUGUUGUUAGGUUGUAAACUUUGAGGUUUGAGCAUAAAGGCAGCAGGGUUAUGUUGUUGAGUGUCCGAUGACCUUGGGAGGUCUCGGAGGAAGGGUUGUCCUCCUUGGGCAAUGUUUAGGCUAAGGUUUGGUAAAUGGUGCAAUGUUAGUUUUGUUCAAGUGGUUACUAAGGUAUUUAAUGGUGUUAAAUAGGUAGCUUGUGGAGUUGAUAAUUAAGCUUGGUUUUUGAGUUUAUUGCGAAGACGCAACGGGAUUUUAGGUGAGUAAAAUCUCACUAAGGUUCACUUUGUGACCUAUUUAUUUAUGAUUAUUAUGAUGAAAAUGUUGUGGAUGAUGAUAAUGUUGAUAGAAAUGAUGAUGAUUAUAAUGAUAGUUAUUAUGAUUAUGUUGAUGAAAAUAUUGUUGAUUUUGAUGAUUGUGAUGAUGAUAAUAAUUUAAAAAUUAUAUUUUCCUUUUUGUUUGUUUUAAAAUAUAUGAGCUUGAUCGCUAACGGCUCAUAGGUAAGAGAAAACUAGUUCUCCUUUUUAAAUGAUCAUUUUUAAUGUUCUAGUGACUAUAAUAUCUUUAGUUCUUGGUAGAUUAUUCUUGUGAGAAAAUCUAUAUGUGUGUAUAUAUAUCUCUUUGUGAAAAUGUAUAUUUAAGUGAGGUGUCGCUUGUCUGGUUCUAUUGAAGUGGUGAUUGUGUGUAUUCAUUGUGAUUAUUGAUGCCUCAGUGGUGAUUGUGUGCAUUAGAUUAUGAGCUUUCGUGGUAGACCGGGAACCAAGCCUUGGCCGGGUGAUUGGUUACAGUCAGUAUAGAGCUCUAGUCUGUUGGUACUUCAUGGGGGAUGACUAUGUGUUGACGAACCCAUGAGUACGUGAUUGUGUAGUUACUUAUGAGGGAUGACUAUGCGUUGACGAACUCAUAAGUAAGGGUUGAGAAAUGAUUGUGUGAUGUUCUUAUAUGUUGUCAUUUAAAAUUCCUUGUUUUAAGUAUUUCCUGAACUAUGCCUUUUUGCAGGAUUUCAUUAUGAAUUGUUUGAUUGUGAAUUGUUGCGUUUCCUUUUAAUUAUUUGUUUCAUUUAUGAUUUUGAGAUAUUAAGAUUUUGAGUUUUAUCAUGCCUAAAGUUUUGAAAUUUUAUCCUUCGAAAAUUGGGGUGUGAUAUAGACAUUUCUAAUGAAAAUAGUAGAUGUGUCUUAUGUUAUAGGAGUGGGUUCGGUUUUGUUCGGUUCGGUUUUCACCUAAAAUUGGAAACCAAACUGAAUAAAAAAUUCGGUUCGGUUCGGUUUGAUUGGACAUUUUUUGAGAACUUGAACUGGACACGGUUUGGUUUGGUUUCGGUUUUUCUACUUUUUUUUUUUUUUUUUUUNNNNNNNNNNNNNNNNNNNNNNNNNNNNNNNNNNNNNNNNNNNNNNNNNNNNNNNNNNNNNNNNNNNNNNNNNNNNNNNNNNNNNNNNNNNNNNNNNNNNNNNNNNNNNNNNNNNNNNNNNNNNNNNNNNNNNNNNNNNNNNNNNNNNNNNNNNNNNNNNNNNNNNNNNNNNNNNNNNNNNNNNNNNNNNNNNNNNNNNNNNNNNNNNNNNNNNNNNNNNNNNNNNNNNNNNNNNNNNNNNNNNNNNNNNNNNNNNNNNNNNNNNNNNNNNNNNNNNNNNNNNNNNNNNNNNNNNNNNNNNNNNNNNNNNNNNNNNNNNNNNNNNNNNNNNNNNNNNNNNNNNNNNNNNNNNNNNNNNNNNNNNNNNNNNNNNNNNNNNNNNNNNNNNNNNNNNNNNNNNNNNNNNNNNNNNNNNNNNNNNNNNNNNNNUUUCAAAUGAAAAUAGUAGAUGUGUCUUAUGUUAAAUAUUGUAGAAUUUGCAAUUUUUGCCUACAAUGGGUUCAAUCUCAAGAACCAUUUGGAUUUCUAGAAAGUCUACUUUUCUUUAAUUUAGCUUAUAUUAAUGGUAGUCAUUUCUAAUCAAAACAGUAAAUGUAUCUUAUGUUAAAUGUAGACUUUGCAACUUUUGCCUUUACUGGGUUCAAUCUCAAUAACCAUUUUGAUUUCCAGAAAGUCUACUUUUCUGGGAUUUUGCUUACCUAAAUAGUAGACAUUUCUAAUGAAAAUAGUAGAUGUGUCUUAUGUUAAAUAUAGACUUUGCACAUUUUGCCUUCAAUGUGUUCAAUCUCAAGAACAAUUUUGAUUUUCAGAAAAUAUACUUUUUUUUUUAAUUUAGCUCAUCUAAAUGGUAGACAUUUCCUAUGAAAAAAGUAGUUAUGUCUUAUGUUAAUUGUAGAGUUUGCAACUUUCACCUUCGAUUGAUUCAAUCUCAAGAAGAAUUUUGAUAUCCAGAAAGUCUACUUUUAUGUGAUUUUUCUCAUCUAAAUGGUACACAUUUCAAAUGAAAAUAGUAGAUGUGUCUUUUGUUAAAUGUGGAAUUUGUAAUUUUUGCCUACAAUGGGUUCAAUCUCAAGAACCAUUUUGAUUUCCAGAAAGUCUACUUUUCUUUUAUUUAGCUUAUGUUAAUGGUAGUCAUUUCUAAUAAAAAUAGUAAAUGUCUCUUAUGUUAAAUGUAGACUUUGCAACUUUUGCCUUUACUGGGUUCAAUCUCAAGAACCAUUUUGAUUUCCAGAAAGUCUACUUUUUUUUUUUAAUUUUAGCUCAUCAUCUAAAUGGUAGACAUUUCUCAUGAAAAAAGUAGUUGUGUCUUAUGUUAAUUGUAGAGUUUGCAACUUUUACCUUCGAUUGAUUCAAUCUCAAGAAGAAUUUUGAUUUACAGAAACUCUACCUUUAUGUAAUUUUGCUCAUCUAAAUGGUAGACAUUUCAAAUGAAAAUAGUAGAUGUGUCUUAUGUUAAAUAUUGUAGAAUUUGCAAUUUUUGCCUACAAUGGGUUCAAUCUCAAGAACCAUUUAGAUUUCUAGAAAGUCUACUUUUCUUUAAUUUAGCUUAUAUUAAUGGUAGUCAUUUCUAAUCAAAAUAGUAAAUGUGUCUUAUGUUAAAUGUAGACUUUGCAACUUUUGCCUUUACUGGGUUCAAUCUCAAUAACCAUUUUGAUUUCCAGAAAGUCUACUUUUCUGGGAUUUUGCUUACCUAAAUAGUAGACAUUUCUAAUGAAAAUAGUAGAUGUGUCUUAUGUUAAAUAUAGACUUUGCACCUUUUGCCUUCAAUGUGUUCAAUCUCAAGAACAAUUUUGAUUUCCAAAAAAUAUACUUUUUUUUUUAAUUUAACUCAUCUAAAUGGUAGACAUUUCUCAUGAAAAAAUUAGUUAUGUCUUAUGUUAAUUGUAGAGUUUGCAACUUUCACCUUCGAUUGAUUCAAUCUCAAGAAAAAUUUUGAUUUCCAGAAAGUCUACUUUUAUGUGAUUUUGCCCAUCUAAAUGGUAGACAUUUCAAAUGAAAAUAGUAGAUGUGUCUUAUGUUAAAUGUAGACUUUACAACUUUUGCCUUUAAUGGGUUCAAUCCCAAGAACCAUUUUGAUUUCCAGAAAAUUUACUUUUCUGCUUUCUGGGAUUUUGCUUAUGUAAAUAGUACACAUUUCUAAUGAAAAUAGUAGAUGUGUCUUAUGUUAAAUGUAGAAUUUGCAACUUUUGCCUACAAUGGGUUCAAUCUCAAAAACCAUUUUAAUUUCCAGAAAGUCUACUUUUCUUGAUUUAGCUUAUGUUAAUGGUAGUCAUUUCUAAUGAAAUUUGUAGAUGUGUCUUUUGUUAAAUGUAGACUUUGCAACUUUUGCUUUUAAUGCGUUCAAUCUCAAGAACCAUUUUAAUUUCCAGAAAGUCUACUUUUCUGUGAUUUUGCUCAUCUAAAUGGUACACAUUUCUAAGAAAAUAGUAGAUGUGUAUUAUGUUAAAUGUAGAAUUUGUAAUUUUUGCCUACAAUGGGUUCAAUUUCAAAAACCAUUUUGAUUUCCAGAAAGUUUACUUUUCUUUAAUUUAGCUUAUGCUAUUGGUAGUCAUUUCUAAUGAAAAUAGUAGAUAUGUUAAAUGUAGAUUUUACAACUUUUGUCUUUAAUGGGUUUAAUCUCAGGAACCAUUUUGAUUUCCAGAAAGUCUACUUUUAUGUGAUUUUGCUCAUCUAAAUGGUAGACAUUUCUAAUGAAAAUAGUAGAUGUGUCUUAUGUUAAAUAUAGACUUUGCACCUUUUGCCUACAAUAGGUUCGAUCUCAAGAACAAUUUUGAUUUCCAGAAAGUCUACUUUUUUUUUAAUUUAGCUCAUUUAAAUGGUAGAUAUUUCUCAUGAAAAAAGUAGUUAUGUCUUAUGUUAAUUGUAGAGAUUGCAACUUUCACCUUCGAUUGAUUCAAUCUCAAGAAGAAUUUUGAUUUCCAGAAAGUCUACUUUUAUGUGAUUUUGCCCAUCUAAAUGGUAGACAUUUCAAAUGAAAAUAGUAGAUGUGUCUUAUGUUAAAUGUAGAAUUUGCAAUUUUUGCCUACAAUGGGUUCAAUUUCAAAACCCAUUUUAAUUUCCAGAAAGUCUAUUUUUCAUUAAUUUAGCUUAUGCUAAUGGUAGUCAUUUCUAAUUAAAAUAGUAGAUAUGUUAAAUGUAGACUUUGCAACUUUUGCAUUUAAUGGGUUCAAUCUCAUGAGUCCAUUUUUUAUUUCCAGAAGUCUACUUUUAUGUGAUUUUGCUCAUCUAAUGGUAGACAUUUCUAAUGAAAAUAGUAGAUGUGUCUUAUAUUAAAUAUAGACUUUGCACAUUUUGCCUUCAAUUUGUUCAAUCGCAAGAACAAUUUUGAUUUCCAGAAAGUCUACUUUUUUAUUAAUUUAGCUCAUUUAAAUGAUAGACAUUUCUCAUGAAAAAAGUAGUUAUGUCUUAUGUUAAUUGUAGAUAUUGCAACUUUCACCUUCGAUUGAUUCAAUCUCAAGAAGAAUUUUGAUUUCCAGAGAGUCUACUUUUUUGUGAUUUUGCCCAUCUAAAUGGUAGACAUUUCAAAUGAAAAUAGUAGAUGUGUCUUAUGUUAAAUGUAGACUUUACAACUUUUGCCUUUAAUGGGUUCAAUCUCAAGAACCAUUUUGAUUUCCAGAAAAUCUACUUUUCUGCUUUCUAGGAUUUUGCUCAUCUAAAUAGUAGACAUUUGUAAUGAAAAUAGUAGAUGUGUCUUAUGUUAAAUGUAGAAUUUGCAACUUUUGCAUACAAUGGGUUCAAUCUCAAGAACCAUUUUGAUUUCCAGAAUGUCUACUUUUCUGUGAUUUUGCUCAUCUAAAUGAUAGAUAUUUCAAAUGAAAAUAGUUGAUGUGUCUUAUGUUAAAUGUAGACUUUGUAACUUUUGCGUUUAAUGAGCUCAAUAUCAAGAACCAUUUUGAUUUCCAGAAAGUCUACUAUGGUGUGAUUUAGCUCAUCCAAAUGGCAGAUAUUUCUAAUGAAAAUAGUAGAUUUGUCUUAUGUUAAAUGUAGACUUUGCAACUUUUGUCUUUAAUGGGUUGAAUCUCAAGAACCAUUUUGAUUUCCAGAAAGUCUACUUUUAAGGGAUUUUGCUCAUCUAAAUGGUAGACAUUUCUAAUGAAAAUAAUAGAUGUGCCUUAUGUUUAAUGUAGACUUUGCAACUUUUGCCUUUAAUAGAUUCAAUCUCAAGAACCAUUUUGAUUUCCAGAAAGUCUACUUUUCUGUGAUUUUGUUUAUCUUAAUGGUAGGUAUAUCUAAUGAAAAUAGUAGAUGUGUCUUAUGUUAAAUGUAGAUUUUACAACUUUUGUCUUUAAUGAGUUCAAUCACAAGAACCAUUUUGAUUUCCAGAAAGUCUACUUUUCUUUGAUUUAGCUUAUGUUAAUGGUAGACAUUUCUAAUGAAAAUAGUAGAUGUGUCUUUUGGUAAAUGUAGAAUUUGAAAUUUUUGCCUACAAUAGGUUCAAUCUCAAGAACCAUUUUGAUUUCCAGAAAAUCUACUUUUCUUUUAUUUAGCUUAUGUUAAUGGUAGUCAUUUGUAAUGAAAAUAGUAGAUGUGUCUUAUGUUAAAUGUAGAUUUUGCAACUUUUGCUUUUACUGGGUUCAAUCUCAAGAACCAUUUUGAUUUCCAGAAAGUCUAUUUUUCUUUGAUUUAGCUUAUGUUAAUGGUAGUCAUUUCUAAUGAAAAUAGUUGAUGUGUCUUAUAUUAAAAUAGUAGAUGGUAGUUAUUUCUAAUGAAAAUAGUAUAUGUCUACCAUUUAAACGAGUAAAUCACAUAAAUGUAGACUUUCUGGAAAUAAAAAUUGUUCUUGAGUUGGAAUCAAUAAUUAAAGCUGAAAGUUGCAAAGUCUACAUUUAACAUAAGACACAACUACUAUUUUUACGAGAAAUGUCUACCAUUUAGAUGAGAAAAAUCACAAAAAAGUAGACUUUCUGAAAAUCAAAAUUGUUCUUGAUAUUGAAUCAAUAACGGAAGGUGAAAGUUGUAAAAUCUACAUUUAACAUAAGACACAACUACUAUUUUCAUGAGAAAUGUCUACCAUUUAGAUGACUAAAAUCACAAAAAAGUAUAUUUUCUGGAAAUCAAUAUUGUUCUUGAGAUUUAAUCAAUUGAAGGUGAAAGUUGCAAAGUUUACAAUUAACAUAAGACACAACUACUAUUUUUAUGAGAAAUGUCUACCAUUUAGAUGAUCAAAAUCACAUAAAAGUAGACUUUCUGGAAAUCAAAAUUCUUCUUGAGAUUGAAUCAAUCGAAGGUGAAAGUUGCAUACUCUACAAUUAACAUAAGACACAUCUACUAUUUUCAUUACAAAUGACUACCAUUAACAUAUGCUAAAUCAAACAAAAGUAAACUUUUUGGAAAUCAAAAUGGUUCUUGAGAUUGAACCCAUUAAAGGCAAAAGUUGCAAAGUCUACAUUAAACAAAAGACACAUAUACUAUUUUCAUUAGAAAUGUCUACCAUUUAGAUGAGCAAAAUUACAUAAAAGUAGACUUUUUGGAAAUCAAAAUGGUUCCUGAGAUUGAACCCAUUAAAGGCAAAAGUUGUAAAGUCUAUAUUUAACAUAAGACACAUCUACUAUUUUCAUUAGAAAUGACUACCAUUAGCAUAAGCUAAAUUAAAGAAAAGUUCACUUUCUGGAAAUCAAAAUAGUUUUUGAGAUUGAACCCAUUGUAGGCAAAAAUUGCAAAUUCUACAUUUAAUAUAUGACACAUCUACUAUUUUCAUUAGAAAUAUCUACCAUUUUGAUAAACCAAAUCACAGAAAAGUAGACUUUCUGGAAUUCAAAAUGGUUCUUGAGAUUGAACCCAUUAAAGGCAAAAGUUGCAAAGUCUACAUUUAACAUAAGACACAUCUACAAAUUUCUUUAGAAAUGACUACCAUUAACAUAAGCUAAAUCAAGAAAAGUAGACUUUCUGGAAAUUAAAAUAGGUUUUUGAGAUUGAACCCAUUGUAAGCAAAAAUUGCAAAUUCUACAUUUAACAAAAGACACAUCUACUAUUUUCGUUAGAAAUGUCUACCAUUAACAUAAGCUAAAUCACAGAAAAGUAGACUUUCUGGAAAUCAAAAUGGUUCUUGUGAUUGAACCCAUUAAAGGCAAAAGUUGCAAAGUCUACAUUAAACAUAAGACACAUCUACUAUUUCAUUAGAAAUGUCUACCAUUAAGAUAAGUAAAAUCACAGAAAAGUAGACUUUCUGGAAAUCAAAAUGGCUACAUGUGUAAAACUAAAGAGCACUCCAACACCUGCAGCAAACGCGGGCAGAUUUCUAGUAAAAGAGAAUACGUAAAGAGAGUUGUGAAUAAUAAAUAUAUAAUAAUUAUAUUAAAUAACAUAUUAUUAUUAGUUUUAGAUAUUAAAGGUAUUUUAGGUAGUUUGUGAUGCGUAUUUAGUAUAAUAUUGAAAUAAAAAAUUAGACGAGUAGUGUAUUAAGUAAAUGGUGUGUAUUAAGAAAUUAAGGGUGUGUAUUUAAAAUUACUUUAAACAAAAAUAGGGUGGUCAAACAUAGAGAAGGUUGGUGACUGUGGUGGGUGCUUGGACAAAGUUGACCGCUGCCACCUCGCAAUUAUCAAAACCGAACAAGUCAGAACUCUACUGCCACUCUCAACCAGACUCUCCGCCCAGGCCCGGAUCUGAGAUUUUUAGACUUGAGUCGAACUUUCAAAAUUGGGCCCUCAAAGUAUAGUAUUCAUUCAAUUUUAUUUUCUAUUUUUAAGAAACACACAGAAAUUUUCACGAACUAAAGUUAUAAACUCAAAAUCUAACAACAAAAAACGUUAUAAAUCCUAUUAAAAAUCUUAUUUAUAUAACAAAUCUCUUAGUUAGGCUGCUCAUUUUUCUAAAAUAGUAACUAAUGAUAGUAAUAUAAUAGGUAAGAUUUUAUAUUCAUUUUCUCUUUUGUAAUCUAAUAUCUCACCCUAAUUGGAUGCUGUUAAUUAUUUUUUAUUGUUUUUAACUAAACUAAUGUGAUCACACAAAGAUAAAAGAAAAUUUUGGGCCCCUUAAGGUUCUGGGCCUUGAGUCCAUCGACUGUUAGGACUCUAUUCAGGUAUGGGUCUGUCUCCGCCAUCUUCAAACCCCCUCCUGCACAUUUCAACUCUCCUCCAACGGCCGUGUAAGUCUCCUCAUUUUCAAUCAACCCAUUUCAUUUUAUGACUUCCAAACAAACAAAAACUGAUCUUGAAUUGAAUUGCUCUAGGCAAGGUUCUGCUGACCGGAGGCUACCUUAUCCUGGACAGACCCAAUGUCGGGCUCGUCCUCACCACCAACGCUCGCUUCUUCGCCAUUGUCAAACAUCUCUACGACCAUGCCAAGCCUGACAGCUGGGCUUGGGUGCGUCUCUCUCUCUCUCNN
This 13213-nucleotide long non-coding RNA is filed under the name Fragaria vesca (wild strawberry). Its description in RNAcentral is "long non-coding RNA (FVES_LNC002308)". The record is from RNAcentral. Lineage: Eukaryota; Viridiplantae; Streptophyta; Magnoliopsida; Rosales; Rosaceae.